RNAcentral lists this ribosomal RNA (409 nucleotides) under uncultured bacterium. RNAcentral describes it as "bacterial SSU rRNA". It matches the Rfam family "Bacterial small subunit ribosomal RNA", at positions 522 to 928 of the family's 1533-position model. The record is from RNAcentral.
AAUACGACGGGUGCAAGCGUAAAUCGGAAUUACUAUUAGUCACGCGCCCGUAGGUGGUUUGAUCGUAUGGAAGUGAAAGCCCCGGGCUCAACCAGGGAACUGCUUUCAAANCUAGCAAGCUAGGUGUNUGNCAGAGGGUGGUGGAAUUUNAGUAAGGAUAGCGGUGAAAUGCGUAGAUAUAGGAAGGAACACCAGUGGCGAAGGCGACCACCUGGGCUAAUACUGACACUGAGGUGCGAAAGCGUGGGGAGCAAACANGAUUAGAUACCCUGGUAAUNGUCCACGCCGUGGGCGACGACUAGCCGUUGGGCUCCAUCACUAUAGCUUAGUGGCGCAGCUAACGCAACGACNGCCUGGGGAGUACGGCCGCAAGGUUAUAACUCAAAUGAAUUGACGGGGGCCCGCACUA